RNAcentral lists this microRNA precursor (52 nucleotides) under Tupaia belangeri chinensis (Chinese tree shrew). Its description in RNAcentral is "Tupaia chinensis (Chinese tree shrew) mir-1302 microRNA precursor family". It matches the Rfam family "mir-1302 microRNA precursor family". Lineage: Eukaryota; Metazoa; Chordata; Mammalia; Scandentia; Tupaiidae. The record is from Rfam by way of RNAcentral.
UUUUCAGUAUAAGUAUGUCCCAUAUAUUAUUUGGGACAUGCUUAUAUUAAAA